UACGGAGGGUCCGAGCGUUAAUCGGAAUUACUGGGCGUAAAGCGUGCGUAGGCGGAUAAUUAAGUCAGAUGUGAAAUCCCGGGGCUCAACCUCGGAACUGCAUUUGAAACUGGUUAUCUAGAGUUUUGUAGAGGGUGGUGGAAUUUCCAGUGUAGCGGUGAAAUGCGUAGAGAUUGGAAGGAACAUCAGUGGCGAAGGCGGCCACCUGGACAAAAACUGACGCUGAGGCACGAAAGCGUGGGGAGCAAACAGG
RNAcentral lists this ribosomal RNA (253 nucleotides) under uncultured bacterium. Its description in RNAcentral is "partial 16S ribosomal RNA". It matches the Rfam family "Bacterial small subunit ribosomal RNA", at positions 524 to 776 of the family's 1533-position model. The record is from RNAcentral.